RNAcentral lists this non-coding RNA (274 nucleotides) under Tribolium castaneum (red flour beetle). RNAcentral describes it as "Eukaryotic small subunit ribosomal RNA". The stretch from base 60 to 274 matches the Rfam family "Eukaryotic small subunit ribosomal RNA", at positions 1 to 1113 of the family's 1831-position model. Lineage: Eukaryota; Metazoa; Arthropoda; Insecta; Coleoptera; Tenebrionidae. The record is from Rfam by way of RNAcentral.
AAACGCUGACGAUGAAAAUUUUAUUUUCUCGUCUGUCCCAAAAAACACAAAAACACAGUUCCCUAGUUGAUUCUGCCAGUAGUAAUCAUAUGCUUGUCUCAAAGAUUAAGCCAUGCAUGCAAACACGCUUUCAUUCAUCAAGAACGAAAGUUAGAGGUUCGAAGGCGAUCAGAUACCUUCCUAGUUCUAACCAUAAACGAUGCCAGCUAGCGAUCCGUCGACGUUCCUCCGACGACUCGUCCAGCAGCUUGCGGGAAACCAAAGCUUUUGAGCU